Molecule: ribosomal RNA, 278 nt
Filed under: uncultured bacterium
Lineage: Bacteria
Description: partial 16S ribosomal RNA
Rfam family: Bacterial small subunit ribosomal RNA
Source: RNAcentral
AACGAACGCUGGCGGCACGCCUAACACAUGCAAGUCGAGCGCUACCUUCGGGUGGAGCGGCGGACGGGUUAGUAACGCGUGGGAACAUACCCAACACUACGGAAUAGCCUCGGGAAACUGAGAGUAAUACCGUAUACGCCCUUCGGGGGAAAGAUUUAUCGGUGAUGGAUUGGCCCGCGUUAGAUUAGAUAGUUGGUGGGGUAAUGGCCUACCAAGUCUACGAUCUAUAGCUGGUUUGAGAGGAUGAUCAGCAACACUGGGACUGAGACACGGCCCAG